RNAcentral lists this ribosomal RNA (623 nucleotides) under uncultured bacterium. RNAcentral's name for it is "bacterial SSU rRNA". The stretch from base 1 to 543 matches the Rfam family "Bacterial small subunit ribosomal RNA", at positions 338 to 873 of the family's 1533-position model. The record is from RNAcentral.
CCUACGGGAGGCAGCAGUGGGGAAUUGUUCACAAUGGGCGCAAGCCUGAUGACGCAACGCCGCGUGGAGGAUGAAGGUCUUCGGAUUGUAAACUCCUGUUGCCCGGGACGAAAAGCUUCGACCUAACACGUCGAAGUCUGACGGUACCGGGUGAGGAAGCCCCGGCUAACUCUGUGCCAGCAGCCGCGGUAAUACAGAGGGGGCAAGCGUUGUUCGGAAUUACUGGGCGUAAAGGGCGCGUAGGUGGCCUUCUAAGUUGAACGUGAAAUCCCUGGGCUCAACCCAGGAACUGCGUCCAAGACUGGGAGGCUUGAAUCCGGGAGAGGGAUGCGGAAUUCCAGGUGUAGCGGUGAAAUGCGUAGAUAUCUGGAGGAACACCGGUGGCGAAGGCGGCAUCCUGGACCGGUAUUGACACUGAGGCGCGAAAGCCAGGGGAGCAAACGGGAUUAGAUACCCCGGUAGUCCUGGCCCUAAACGAUGAAUGCUUGGUGUGGCGGGUAUCGAUCCCUGCCGUGCCGAAGCUAACGCAUUAAGCAUUCCGCCUGGGGAGUACGGUCGCGAGCGNGAACGACGAAGAAGUAGACGGCGUGAGACGUGCCGACGGACGACGACGAGGGAGGAGG